This 1411-nucleotide unclassified non-coding RNA is filed under the name Hevea brasiliensis (rubber tree). Lineage: Eukaryota; Viridiplantae; Streptophyta; Magnoliopsida; Malpighiales; Euphorbiaceae. The record is from RNAcentral.
AUAAGAUUAGCAGAAGAAAUCUCUAAAGCAGACAUUACAGCAUUCAAAGUUGUAUUAGUGGCAGUUGCAGUCAUUGCUAGAAAGCAUUGAACAUUGAGUCUAGCGCGAAGUAUAGGUGCCCUGAGCCUCAUGUAUGAGGGCCGGAAAUUAUGUGACCAUUCAGAAAUACAGUGAGCUUCAUCAACCACAAGAAGUGAUAUAGAAAUGGCAGAAAAAUUUGGCAAGAAUUCUGCAUUUAGAAAUCUCUCUGGUGAAACAAAAAGGACCUUUAUGGCCGCUUCUUUCACUAGCCUGAGUGUCUCAGCGGCUUCUUGGGAUGUCUGACUGCUACUCAACAGGCCUCCCUGAAGCUCUGGAGGCAGCUGUUUCAACUGAUCAAUCAUCAAUGCCACUAAUGGACUCACGACCAGCGUAAUCCCCGGCAAAAGCAUCGCGGGUAUCUGAUAACACAGCGAUUUACCAGCACCAGUAGGCAAAACCAGCAUGGUCGACUUCCCAUCCAGCACCAUCUUGAUUGCUUCCAGUUGCCCAUCUCUAAAUGAAUCGUAUCCGUACAUCACAUUCAACAGCUUCACCAAAUUCUCAUCUGACGCCUCAUUUUGAACUGCAAAAACUGCCUCCUCAAUUACCUCGCUUCCCUUACCCCGCUUCGGCUUCUGUUCCAUAAUUUCACUGAUUAAACCAUCCUCAAGAUUGGCAUCGCAGACACUCUUCCUUUCGGCUUUCUGUUUUCGCUUGCUUCUUCUAUAAGAUUUGAAGCCGCUUGAUCCAUACCCAUUUUUACUUGUGGCUUUUCGGUUCAAGAACUUGCGUUUAUUUCGAUUCAUAUUUAGCUUAACAAAAUUUCCUUCACUGACACUGUAUUUGCGCAAUUUCGCAGGGGGCAAAGGCGCAUUAGCUCCUAUCAAAUUAGGAUGCUUCUUAAAGGAGUUGGGUUUGUUUCCUUGCGAGACAUGAUCAGUGGAAUUAGCUCCUGCAGAAAUUUGAGGGCGAGUAUCGUUUUCGGUGCUCUCGAAAUUGAGAGAGGGUCUAUGGAUUUUGGAGAAGGAAGCGGAUUUUGAGAAGUAGCCUGCAGGAAGCGUUUCAAUGGAAAGGGAAAUGGGCACUGUGGGGCGGCUUUGAACGAAAGGAUGACAGAUCUGGAAGGGGAGAGUGGAUGGAGGAGGGAGGUUUGGUGCAGGUUCAUCCUGAGAGGGUUUUGGAGGCGAUUUGGUUAAUGGUUUUGAGGUUUUUUUUGAGCCGAAGGAGGUUUUAACCCUAGUUCUGGAUUUGUGAGAGGAGGACAGAAUUUGUGGAAGUGGCUGCGGCGGCGGAGGAGGAGGAAGAGGUGAUGGUGAUGGUGGUUGUGGUUUUGAGUUUCUUGGAGGGGUGGCAGAGAUGUGUGACCCAUCGGAGUCUGAAUCGGAUUCCA